This 8358-nucleotide long non-coding RNA is filed under the name Capsicum annuum. RNAcentral describes it as "long non-coding RNA (CANN_LNC002066)". Lineage: Eukaryota; Viridiplantae; Streptophyta; Magnoliopsida; Solanales; Solanaceae. The record is from RNAcentral.
CCACCCUCUCUAUCUGAGCAUUGAUAUCGUCGUCUACUAUUUUCAACAUCACUUUUGUUCAUCUUCAGCUCUGGGUGAUUGAUUCUUUGCCAUGGGAGCUUUAUCUGAGAUCUAUUACCAUCUUGAAAUAGAAAGUAGCUACUCGUCCUUGUAUGUUGUUUUUUUAGCUUCCUCUCCAUUUGACUUGAUUUCUCUACCUAAUUUCUAGCUGAGAUCUCAGGUGGAUGGAAUAAGAAAUGCCUUUUUUGAGCUCCAUUGAAGGGUCUAUUAACCUAGAUAAGGUUGUCUUCCCCAAGUAAGUAGCAGCUAACCUUAUGAGUUAAGAUCUAUCUUUGCUUGCACGUACUGACCUCUUCUAUCCUUGUAGAAGUAGAAGUGAACAAGAUAAUAGGAUGCUUGGACCCAUAGGCAUUUGGGAGAUAUCCAUUGUCCAGGUUACGCAGUAACUUUCCAUAUUUCCGCUUCCUUGUUGCUAACAGAACAUUUUGUAGGCUGUUGUACAUUAGGAUAAGUAAAAAAGUACUUACCAAGUUUUUGUGGCCUUGCAAGGAUUGUAAAUAAACUUGUUUAAUCUGUAGCCUAGCUAGUCUUUUACCCUCUUAGUGGUAACAAUAUCAAGUAUGGUUUUUAUGACUUAUAACUGUUGAGUAUUUUAUUUCCUGUUGUUUGCAUAUGUUGAAAGCUUGUGAAUAUGAAUUACUUUACUUCAAAUACAUAAUUAGCAAAGUAAUCAACCAUUUUGUUCCCUUUUCUCAGAAUGUGCUGGUACUGGACUGUUGUAUGUUGCAAUAACCUCCAUGUUUGACUAAAUUUGUCCUCUAUACUCCAUGGACAAUCCAAUUGUUGUUUUAAAAUCUUCAUCAUGCUUAAUGAAUCUAUUUGUAUAAAUGCUUUGCUAAUGUAUGCCUUAUUGCAAUGUAAUGCUGCUUGUGGUAUAGCUUCUGCUUCUGCAUAAAAAUUUGAAGUAUCUUCUAUGAUUUCCCCUUUUUGCAUACACUCAAUCCCCCCUUUUCAUCCCUCACACAAAAUGCAUAAGAGUUUGCCCCUGGAUUUCCCCUAGAGGCUCCAUCUGUAUUGAUUUUAACCCAACCCUAUUGAGGAAAAUCCCACUUUACCAUUGUGACUUUCAGCCUGGUUUUGUGCCUUGCCAACUCUGCCAAGAUUUCUGGCCAUGUAUUAGGAAGAUAUGGCUUCCUUACUUUAAGAAUUAAUUUGAUGUUUCUAAUGAUGUUGUGCUAUAUAUUAUGCUCAGAUAUCCGCUUCCCUUCAUGUUUCCCCUUGUUCCUUCUUUUCCAUAUCUUCUAAAUAAUAAUAAUAGGAAUAGUAAGAUAAUAGCUUUUAUAUCUGAGUCUAACAUCUGCAUUCCACCAUGCCAUGAUAAUCACUCUAAAGUUUAGCCCUUGUACGUUUAUUCCUGCAAAAAAUAAAAGUAGGGCCAUGUCCUGUUAGCAAUAGGAGCUCUCAGAAACCCAUAUGAAAUGUUCUCUCGAGCAUGGGUAGUACAACACCAACAUUUGGUAGGACCUUCCACCCCCAUCUUCUAAUAGCCUCAUCAACUGGUAUUUUUUCUUUCCAGAUUCUCCACAUUAAAAAGGAGAAUUUGAAAGGUAGUCUUUUUACCCACAUCUCCUUGAAAAUAUCACUAUUUUCCUUUCUCUAUCUUAUAUACUCCUAAGAAGACUUCACACCAAAUUUUCCAUUAGAUUUAAGCAUCCAAAUAGGUUUGUCCCUUUCCAUACUCCGUUCGGUGGCUAUACAGUAUCUAUAAUAUGAUUAGCGAUUUUCGCUAGUAACAAUUGAUUCAAUAUAUUAGCAUUCCAUGUUCCUUGCCUUAUCAAGAUAUUUAUCUUCUAAAAUAUGUCAUUCCACAUCAAGUCAUUUUCUAUAAUAUGGUACAGACUCCCUAAUAUUGUCCAGUUAUCCCACCAAGUGCUAGAUUCUCUAUUCUUGAUUUUCCAUAAUAUCUGAUGCUCAAUCAAAUCUAAAGCCUAUAAUAUUUUUUUCCAUACUUUUAAACCCCCAGAUCCUUCUUCCAUAGAAUUAUAGUAGGGUGUUCCUUCUUACAAUACUUUUUAUGUAUAUAAUCCACCCAAAUCAACUUUUUGGUUCUUAAGUUCCACCAUAGAUUGCAAAACAAAGUUGCUACUCAUCUCACUAACUUUCUCCUUUGAUCACUUUGGUCAGGCUCUCUCAUAGUCCUCCUACUCCUCAUAACCCUCAAUCUAUAAUCAAACCCCAUUGUAGUAGAGACCCCACAAUUCUAUACCAAAUAAAAAUUUAAAAAUAUUCUCCUCAAAUAAAUCAAUUGUAACCUCUCUGGCCAGUGCAUACCUUAGUAGGGGUUGGUCUUGAGUUCUCUCCCUCCGCUGGUGUGAGUAAGUCAAUUGAUAUAGGGUAAGAUACAUAAAACUCUGAUACCACCUUGGGGCUGUAAGAUCCUGAAGGCUUACCCAUCCAUCAAAUUCUAUAUCUAUCAAAUGUGGCCUUCGGGUCUGAAAUCCCUCCCAAUGUGGUGAGACCAAUAUGAGGCUUCUCAAUUGUAUUGUGCCAAGGUCUACCCUAAUCAGUGAUAGAAAUGUUUCUUUCAUAUAUGCAUUGCAUGUCCGCCACAUACCAUCUCUGAAUCACCUAAGCUACUGGUAUGGUAGAGAGGUAAGUUGACUUCUAAGCUUCUAGAGCUAAACCAUAGGAAUCCUCAGUACCCUAAAUAUCUUUACACCCUUAUCAGAUUGAGGUGCAUUUGUCUCUUGAUCACUGGUUCUUGAAAAGGACUUUACCCCUUCCUCAGAUAGGGGCACAGCUAACUCCUUCUCAACUGCACUAGAACUAGAUUCAUAUUAUCCAUUUUUAGAUUGAGAAGUGAUGGCAGAGUGUGGUGGUGAUAUUGGUACGACAUUCAUUCUGUGUCCAGUUUGGAUAACCUGACUAGCUUGAGGCCAGGAUUGAGGUACCGGUGGUGGUGUAGGCUGAAAGACUAGUUGAAUGGCAAAUUAGGUUGUAGUACCUCUCCGAGUUUGGUCCUAGGUCUAUCAUGAGGCUAAUAGUUCACUACCAAUGGAGUACACCUCAAUGGAUCCACUUCUCUCGGGAGACUCAUCUCUCAAUCUAGACUGGAUGCCCUUCGUCAGUGUAGCUUUUGGUGCCAUAGUACCUGUAAGGAGAAAUAUCAUUGAUUGAACACAAUAAUUUAACAAUAAAAGAACAUAAAGUUUAGGUUCUAUGUCAAGUUCAACCUAGGACUGCAACCUACUGUUGACACCUAAUUUUUGCACUCCAUAACUAAGUUUAGUCCUGAUUUUCUUUGAUUUUUAAAUAAAAUUAUUAUAUUUAUUUUUUCCAAAUAAAAAGAUAUUCAAAGUAUUUAUCUAAGUAAUUUUGUCAUUUUAAGUAGUAAUUAUAUAUCAUCGUAUUUAAUUAUACAAAAAUAUAUUACUUAAAAAUUUAUUUUACGAAAUAUCAGAUUUUAAUCAAAUCAUAGCGUAAAAAUUAAUUCAAAUGGAUAAAAUUUUGACUUAAAUAUGAUUUGUUCUAAAAAAUAAUUUAUUUGGAGAAAUAUUUAUUUGAUUUUAUAUACUCAAGAAGCUCGGGAUUAAAUGAAGUAUUAAUUCAUAUCAAAUUUCAAUUUAAUUUAACCAAUUUAUUAGAUUUGGUAAUAAUUGAAAUCAAUUGUCCAUAAUUGCAAUGUAAUCCACCAAUUGAUUUCAAUUUGGUAAAAAAUAAAUGAAUUUGGCUAAAUUUUAAAUCCUAAUUGGGGUUAUCUUUUAAAUAACCCCAAAAUCCUAAAAAACAUGACGUAAAUCUACCCAUUCUAAUUUGACUUUCAAAAUUUAUACUAGAUUGUACAAUUCCACCUCAACCUUUUCCUUUUUCAAUUUGAAUUUUAAAAUUUUCAUUAUAUGGUACAAUUUCACCUCAACCUUGUCCUUUUUCUAAUUUGAAUUUCAAAAUUUAUACUAGAUUGUACAAUUCCACCUCAACCUUAUUCUUUUUCUAUUUUUGAAAUUCAAAAUUUGUACUAGAUUGUACAAUUCCACCUCACUUUAUCCUCCAACAAACCUUACCCUCAAUUUUGAAAUUCCCAAAACACCACUAAAUUCUUUCUCCCACAUUGAUGGAUUCAAAGAAUUGAAUGUCCAUCCUUUCCUAUAAAUAUUACUACUAUCUUGGUAGAAAAAAGUUUCAAAAAGUGGAAAAAACUUUUGAGAAAAUAGUUAAAUUUCUUUUCUUUAGUAAAAAUUUUCAAGCGGUAGUCUAAUUGGGGUUCUCAAAAGAUUUCUUUUUGGUGGUGAUCAAGAUUCCGAAGAAGGCUUGAAUUCUCGUUUUGCUGCCUAAAAAGGUAAACACACCUUUCCCCUUUUAGUUUUAUUAUUGUUUUCUUUCUCAUCUCCUUCUUCUUCGUAGUUCGUAGUUGUAAUUUUGUUUGCUGAGAUUGUUUAUUAUAGAGGACCUUGAAAGGCAUAAGACAUUGUGCUAUCAGCAUUAUGGUUAUUUUCAUGUUCAUUGUAUAAAAAUGAGCUAGCAAUAGUUGAACGUGUUUCUUUGUCUUUAUUCUUUGAUUAUUUUGGAUAAAGUAUUGAUCUUUGCUUAAAAGACAUACUCAUGCCUUAUUUAAAUUCAUUAUGAGCAGAUAUAUUUGUUUUUAGCAUGUAAAGCUGUUUCCUUUAUGUUGAAAAAAAUAGUUAAUAUUGAUUUUUUUUCAUUCUUAACUUUAUUUUUUGAUUAUUAUGGAUAAAGUUUCAAUCUUUGCUUAAAAGACGCACUUAUUCUUUAUUUAUUUAUUUAUCUAUUUGGUCAUUUAUUUAGACUUCGGAGCCAAAGUUGUAAUUUAAUAUAGGUGAAGCAGAUUUUGGGCCUCAAAGGUCCGAAAAUUAGUUUAGGAUAGGCUAUGGGCCAAAAGCCCAAGUAUUUAGAUUAGAAUAGGUGAAGAUAGGCCAAAAGCUCAAAUUAGCUUAGAAUGGGAUUUAUGGAUUUGGGCCUAAUGGCCUAAGUCCUUUAGUAUUCCCUUUUUCCUUAUAUAUGCUAAUUGUUCUUAGUAUUCUUAGACUUAGUUAAAAAUCCCCGCUAAGUCAUCAAAAUUUGUUUUGCACAAAUCUUGAAGAAAAAAUUUUUUCUUCAAUCAUUUUUUUUUCAAAAAUGAAUUUCCCCUUUUAAAGUUAGUCAAAAAAUUUAAUUUCACAUAGUCUGGAUAAUCACAAGUUAGCAGAUACUCCUGGUUCCUUAACAACCUUUGUAAUGCCCCACAUUUUGGACUAGAAUGAAAAUCUGUCAUUCCUAUGGAUGUUUCAAAAGCCUCAAAUCCUAUAUAAAUUUAGUGUGUUAAUCAAUUAUGUAGUGUGGGAAUCUAUUUGAGCAUGAAUUUAGAUGAUAGAGGUCCCCUAACUCAAGUACAAGUUAAAAGCCUUCCUAUCAUUCAAGUUUUAGUGAGUGUCAAAACUUGGGUCAAAUUCAAUCAACCAUAACUCAUUUAUAUAACUAACUGAUUGGUUUACCAUAUAUCAAAUGAAUUAUCUUUGAAUUAGCUUUCCAACGAUACCAAUUUCACCUAAAUUCGAUAUCGGAGCAAAGAGUUAUGCCUAUUUUACUCCAGCAUAUCAGGCUGGAAAUAGUGUGACAACAUUUGUGAUAGCUUAUCACAAUUGUGACGCCCUAUCAUAAAGGUUGUCAGCCUUAGGAAAAAACCAUCCCCUAAGUGAUGAAAUUCGUGGUAGCUUUUCACAUUUGUGAUGCCCUAUCACGAAGGUCGUCAGCUAUGAUUUUCAGCAACUGAGAAAUUAUUUCAUAAGGGUAUUUUGGUCUUUUUCUUCACCUUCCACAACAUAUAACCCUAAAGAGGCAUAUUUUUUCCCAUUUUUCUUCAAUUAAGCAUCUUAAAAACCCUCUCUUACACUCUCAACUACAAUAUUAGGGUUUCCAUCAAACUCAUUUCUCAAAAGUAAGAUUCAAGCAUUUUUCCAAGAUAAUCAAGAAUUAAGUUUUCCAAUCCAAGAAAUCUCCAGCAAAUCGUCAAGGUUUCCUUUCUAAGGUAUGCGUGUGUUCAUUCAUGGACUCCUUUCGUCCAUGAAGCUCAAGAACCCUUUUCUAAAACUAUAUAUUAUGGUUUUCAUUUUAUGAAUGGAUUGUUGAUCAUGUUUAUGUGUUGAAUGAUGCCAAGAUAGAAUCUUUAUGUGUUAUUAUGAAUCUAUGACAUCAUAUGAGUUGAAAAUAUGUAAGUUUGAUUAUUUAUGAUGAGUAAUUGUAUGAUUUACACCUAUUCCUAAGUUGUACAUGUAAGGUAUUUGAUAAAAUACCUAAGAGACUAGAAAUCAUGCAUUAUAGCUAAAUUGUGACUAAGUGAAGGAUUCAUGAUAGGCAUCUAUGAUUCAAUGUCAUCCAUGUUGAUAAUGUGUCUUGUGAACAUUGUUGGAUUACUCAUGAACUAGUCUUAUGGAAUUAUGCUAUACUUACUUGCAAAACCCACUCAUGUACAAGAUGUAGAAUACCGAUGUACUUCAUGAAAUUCCCCUAGUUAUAAUAAUAUGGAUUGCGAUUAUAAUAUGUAAUGAGCAUGAUAUUGAAAGCUAUGCAAGUAUAUACAUGUUGUAUGAAAUUCCCUUCCAUGAAAUAGAUUGUUGAGAACAAUGCUUAGUAUGAAAUUUCUUAUUUAUGAUAUUGUGGAAUAUGGACUCUACUCUUAUGAUCAAGUCAGUCAUGUGUGUCAGUUUCCUUCCAUCGAGUCCUCGGGGUACUUGUACCUAAGAAAUAUAGUUGUGUGCCUAGAUCCAUGUCAUGUUUUCACGAUACUCUCAAUCAAGCCAUGAUCUAUAGAAAUCAGUCAUUCAUGUAUCUCAGAAAAACUCAGUAAUCUCAGAAGUUCAGUAUUCUCAGUAAUCUCAGUGCUCAGUAACCUCAGUAAUAAUAGUAAAUCUCAGUAACUUCAGUACUCUUAAUCAGUCCUCAGAACACAUUAUAUUCCAUCCGUCAUCAAAAUCCAGUAAACUCAGUUUUAGCUCUACUAAAUAAUACCACCAGUAUCAGUUUAGUCAAUCAAUAUCAGUUCAACAAAUCAGUUCGGUUAAGUUAUUUAGUUUAGCCCAGUUAUUCAGUUUAGUGUCUUUCAGAUAAGAGUAGGAUUCAGCACCGAGCGAACCUAGAAAUGGGGGCCCACCCGCUAGAUUAGGACGGAGAUACUUAGAAACAAUCCCUAAGUUCUAGAACUACGUAGCCAGCGUAGGUACGAGAUGUCACCCAUUAGAUAGGACUGACAUACUCAGGGGUCACCCGCUAGCAUACUUAUAUGUAUAGGACUGAUCCCAGGAGUCACCCGCUAGAUUAGGACUAACUCUACAGCAGAUGUCUUUACUGGUGGUACGGUACUGACCCCCUUCCAGUCAGGGUAGAGAUUAGACCCCAGUCAGCUUAGCUUGGGGCAUGUCGGUUAGAUGAACACAUCCCACAGUUUUAGUUACAAAUUCAGGACUGUCAGAUACAGUCAACUCAGUUUAGUAGUGUAGAUUCAAUACUGUUAGAGACAAUCAAUCCUUAUCAUUAUAAAUAGGCUUCAUGAUCACCUAUUAGACAGAACUGAUCUUAACUAUAGUUAAACAGUAUCAGAAUCAUCAAAUUAAAGAUAACCCGCUUCAUAGGACUGAUCUUAAAUUCAGUUACUCCGUAUAAAACAGAACUCAAAUAGUUCCAUCAGAAUUUAGACUGUCAGAUACAGUCGCUCAGUAUCAGUUACAUCGUUUAGGCCAAUCAUCAUAGUUAUAUCAGUUAUCAAAAUUCAUGAUAUCAGUAUUCAGCUUCAGGAUUGUUAGACACAGUUAACCAGACCAGUUUUUCAUAAUUCAAACUGUCAAAAAUAGUCGUUCAUCUAUUCAGUAUCUCAAUAUCAGUACACUCAUGUUGUCAGUAUUCAGACUCAGUAGUCAUUAUCUCCAUGAGUUCAGUUAUAGUUAUGUAUGCAUGUAUGUAUUCUCACGUUCAUAUUAGUCAGCAUUGUCCAUAUAUAUAACCCUUUACAUUUAGCCUACCUCAAUUGUAUACUCAAUAUAUUCAGACGUACUGACGUAUUUGCGCUAUGGUGCUUUCUGUUAUGUUACACCAUAGGUUCAGAGGCACGAGCUCCAGAUCAGCAGUAGCAUUCUAGUGUUCAGAGUUUACAGUGAGUCCUUCUCAUUUGAGGAAGAUAUGAUUAUUGCUACAUUUACUAUUCAGUUGCUACAUGGAGUUAUUUGGAGAUUGUUCCUUCAACUCUUUAUUUAUUUUAGUUAGAGGCUUUCAAACUAGAUGUCAGAUUAGAUAUUCAGAUCUCAUUAUUUUCAGUAUUUAUGACUUGUUUUGGUAUUGUUAUACCUUUUUCUGUCAUUUUAUUAUCAGACG